Molecule: ribosomal RNA, 253 nt
Filed under: uncultured microorganism
Description: partial 16S ribosomal RNA
Rfam family: Bacterial small subunit ribosomal RNA
Source: RNAcentral
AACGUAGGGGGCGAGCGUUGUCCGGAAUUACUGGGCGUAAAGAGCUCGUAGGCGGUAGUUCAAGUCAGGUGUGAAAUCCGACGGCUUAACCGGAGGACUGCACCUGAUACUGGGCUGCUAGAGGUAAGGAGAGGAAGGUGGAAUUCCCGGUGUAGAGGUGAAAUUCGUAGAUAUUGGGAGGAACACCAGAGGCGAAGGCGGCCACCUGGACUAGAUCUGACGCUCAGGUGCGAAAGCGUGGGGAGCAAACAGG